AUGUCUAUUUGGAUGCUACAAACAACAUAUAUUUCCUGGAAUAGAAAUCAACCUUUUCACAGAAUGCUUUCUUGGUAUCCCAGCUCCCCUCAGAAGACAGAACAGUAUUCAUUGCCUCCAAAUAGCUAUGAUCUCCACAAUGUGAGGCUUGCCAACUCCAAGUUAAUCGUCACAGGCUGUGGCAUUGCCUACCUCCAAAUAUACGCCAUUUGUUACAUCCAUGUGCUCACAUCUGCUCUGCUAUCAAGACAAUGA
This 255-nucleotide long non-coding RNA is filed under the name Numida meleagris (helmeted guineafowl). RNAcentral describes it as "lncRNA (ENSNMEG00000006827.1)". The record is from RNAcentral. Lineage: Eukaryota; Metazoa; Chordata; Aves; Galliformes; Numididae.